Molecule: long non-coding RNA, 832 nt
Filed under: Homo sapiens (human)
Lineage: Eukaryota; Metazoa; Chordata; Mammalia; Primates; Hominidae
Description: HSALNT0119709
Source: RNAcentral
UUUUGGUGGGAUUUGGCUGGCUUCUUUACCACAUGUUGUUUUAUCAGCAAGAUCUUUGUGACCUGUACCUUGUGCAGACGUACUAUCUCACCCUGUGGUUUAGGAUGCCUUAACCUUCUGGGAAUGCAGCCCAAGACCCUCCUGGAUGACUUCCUUCUCACGUACACUGUCUUCAUGACAACUGAUGACUUGUGCCAGGCUCUGUUAAGGCAAUAUCCUUCAUUAUCUUCAGGCUGCUGUGUCCACUUCCUCUCAGACAGAUGUCCCACGUUAGGAAUUAACUGCCUUCCUUAAUUUAUUCAACCCCAUAGUAGAAUGUGGAUAUGUUAAAUAUUAAUGUAAUGAUAUCCAAGGUAGAAGAUGAAAUGAGACAGACAGGGGAAACUGGAAAUGUGAACAGCUGUUUUCACAUUCUAUGUUGUGGCUAUAUUACACUGUUUAUAUUAUGUUCGCUUCACAUCUGUGCCUCAUGAUUGCUUAGAAAUCUGGAGGCAAAAUUGGCCUGCUGGGUAAACCCCAGAGUCAAGAGAUUGUGUGGAAUGGGAAGAUCAUGGAAUAAAUGGACUUAAAGGAGAAUCAAAGUAUCAAGGCAAAGAGGAAAACUCAGACGUUCCGCGUAGGAAACGUAAAGUCUUGCAUCUUGUUUCCCAGUGGAUUGCUCUGUACAAAGACUGGUUACCUGAAGAUGAACAUUCAAAAAUGUUUUUAAAGACCAUAUAUAGGAAUGUACUGGAUGAUGUUUAUGAAUAUCCAAUACUUGAAAAAGAAUUGAAAGAAUUUCAAAAGAUACUUGGAAUGCACCGUCGUCACACUGUAGAUGAAUAUUCACCAC